AGUGAACGCUGGCGGUAGGCCUAACACAUGCAAGUCGAACGGCAGCACAGUAAGAGCUUGCUCUUACGGGUGGCGAGUGGCGGACGGGUGAGGAAUACAUCGGAAUCUACUUUUUCGUGGGGGAUAACGUAGGGAAACUUACGCUAAUACCGCAUACGACCUACGGGUGAAAGCAGGGGAUCUUCGGAUCUUGCGCGAUUGAAUGAGCCGAUGUCGGAUUAGCUAGUUGGCGGGGUAAAGGCCCACCAAGGCGACGAUCCGUAGCUGGUCUGAGAGGAUGAUCAGCCACACUGGAACUGAGACACGGUCCAGACUCCUACGGGAGGCAGCAGUGGGGAAUAUUGGACAAUGGGCGCAAGCCUGAUCCAGCCAUGCCGCGUGGGUGAAGAAGGCCUUCGGGUUGUAAAGCCCUUUUGUUGGGAAAGAAAAGCAGCAGGUUAAUACCCCGCUGUUCUGACGGUACCCAAAGAAUAAGCACCGGCUAACUUCGUG
Molecule: ribosomal RNA, 492 nt
Filed under: uncultured bacterium
Lineage: Bacteria
Description: partial 16S ribosomal RNA
Rfam family: Bacterial small subunit ribosomal RNA
Source: RNAcentral